RNAcentral lists this ribosomal RNA (1358 nucleotides) under uncultured bacterium. RNAcentral's name for it is "bacterial SSU rRNA". It matches the Rfam family "Bacterial small subunit ribosomal RNA", at positions 28 to 1381 of the family's 1533-position model. The record is from RNAcentral.
GAUGAACGCUAGCUACAGGCUUAACACAUGCAAGUCGAGGGGCAGCAUGGUCUUAGCUUGCUAAGGCCGAUGGCGACCGGCGCACGGGUGAGUAACACGUAUCCAACCUGCCGUCUACUCUUGGACAGCCUUCUGAAAGGAAGAUUAAUACAAGAUGGCAUCAUGAGUCCACAUGUUCACAUGAUUAAAGGUAUUCCGGUAGACGAUGGGGAUGCGUUCCAUUAGAUAGUAGGCGGGGUAACGGCCCACCUAGUCUUCGAUGGAUAGGGGUUCUGAGAGGAAGGUCCCCCACAUUGGAACUGAGACACGGUCCAAACUCCUACGGGAGGCAGCAGUGAGGAAUAUUGGUCAAUGGGCGAGAGCCUGAACCAGCCAAGUAGCGUGAAGGAUGACUGCCCUAUGGGUUGUAAACUUCUUUUAUAAAGGAAUAAAGUCGGGUAUGGAUACCCGUUUGCAUGUACUUUAUGAAUAAGGAUCGGCUAACUCCGUGCCAGCAGCCGCGGUAAUACGGAGGAUCCGAGCGUUAUCCGGAUUUAUUGGGUUUAAAGGGAGCGUAGAUGGAUGUUUAAGUCAGUUGUGAAAGUUUGCGGCUCAACCGUAAAAUUGCAGUUGAUACUGGAUAUCUUGAGUGCAGUUGAGGCAGGCGGAAUUCGUGGUGUAGCGGUGAAAUGCUUAGAUAUCACGAAGAACUCCGAUUGCGAAGGCAGCCUGCUAAGCUGCAACUGACAUUGAGGCUCGAAAGUGUGGGUAUCAAACAGGAUUAGAUACCCUGGUAGUCCACACGGUAAACGAUGAAUACUCGCUGUCUGCGAUAUACAGCAAGCGGCCAAGCGAAAGCGUUAAGUAUUCCACCUGGGGAGUACGCCGGCAACGGUGAAACUCAAAGGAAUUGACGGGGGCCCGCACAAGCGGAGGAACAUGUGGUUUAAUUCGAUGAUACGCGAGGAACCUUACCCGGGCUUAAAUUGCAGAUGAAUUACGGUGAAAGCCGUAAGCCGCAAGGCAUCUGUGAAGGUGCUGCAUGGUUGUCGUCAGCUCGUGCCGUGAGGUGUCGGCUUAAGUGCCAUAACGAGCGCAACCCUUGUUGUCAGUUACUAACAGGUUCCGCUGAGGACUCUGACAAGACUGCCAUCGUAAGAUGUGAGGAAGGUGGGGAUGACGUCAAAUCAGCACGGCCCUUACGUCCGGGGCUACACACGUGUUACAAUGGGGGGUACAGAGGGCCGCUACCACGCGAGUGGAUGCCAAUCCCAAAAACCUCUCUCAGUUCGGACUGGAGUCUGCAACCCGACUCCACGAAGCUGGAUUCGCUAGUAAUCGCGCAUCAGCCACGGCGCGGUGAAUACGUUCCCGGGCCU